RNAcentral lists this ribosomal RNA (461 nucleotides) under Gemella haemolysans. RNAcentral describes it as "bacterial SSU rRNA". It matches the Rfam family "Bacterial small subunit ribosomal RNA", at positions 28 to 489 of the family's 1533-position model. Lineage: Bacteria; Bacillati; Bacillota; Bacilli; Caryophanales; Gemellaceae. The record is from RNAcentral.
GACGAACGCUGCGGCUUCCUAAUACAUGCAAGUCGAGCGAAGUUUUUUUGGUGCUUGCACUAGAAAAACUUAGCGGCGAACGGGUGAGUAACACGUAAAGAACUGCUCAUAGACUGGGACAACUAUUGGAAACGGUAGCUAAUACCGGAUAACAGCAUUAACUCAUGGUUGAUGUAAAAGUUGGUUUGCUAACACUUGAGUGGCUUUGCGGUCAUUAGCUAGUUGGUGGUAAAGGCCUACCAAGGCGACGAUGCAUAGCCGACCUGAGAGGUGUCGGCCACACUGGGACUGAGACACGGCCCAGACUCCUACGGGAGGCAGCAGUAGGGAAUCUUCCGCAAUGGGCGAAAGCCUGACGGAGCAACGCCGCGUGAGUGAAGAAGGAUCGGUUCGUAAAGCUCUGUUGUUGGGAAGAAUGAUUGUUGUAACUAUACACAGUAGAGACGGUACCUAACCAGAAA